This is a long non-coding RNA of Frieseomelitta varia, 719 nucleotides long. RefSeq lists it as uncharacterized. Lineage: Eukaryota; Metazoa; Arthropoda; Insecta; Hymenoptera; Apidae. The record is from RefSeq and is a predicted model, not a curated record. The transcript is spliced from 3 exons.
UUACAAAGACUUCUUGUUUCACGUUUCAAAAUACGACUUCGAAGAAAAACAGAAUAUUCCUUACGCUCUUUGCGACGUGCUAUGGCCAACAAUAAAGUCAAUAGCGUUAUUUUUAUUAUAAAACAGUCACAUUGAAAUAGUGACUGCAAACAAAGCCUAUGAUUGAAAAAUUUUGCUAAAUACGAUGGAAAUUAUUUCGAGGAGUAAAAUCAUUUAGAUUGAAGCUUAAAAUUAAGACUUGAAGUUAAAACACGUUUUUUUAACUAACAAUAAGAUCAAAAUUAAAAUAUAUUACUACUUGCGUACAAAAUGCGCGCGCAAUGUUUAGUUCAGCUAAACGAUCACAGCGCCAUCACACAGUGAAACGUAGAAUACACUUAUUGCGAUACUCAGACAUAUCGAUAUAUCUCGAUCUGUAGUUAUUGAAAUGUAACGCACAUCAGUAAAAGUGGGAAGCAGUAGCAAGAAGAAAUGUCACUUAGAAGUCUACAGAUUACUUCCAGAUUUCAUUUUUUUCUAUGGGAUUCGACGAUUUUUGUUUGAUGAUGGAUUUGACGAUAUAGAUGACAACUUUUUUCGCAUCUAACGCUCUCGCCACGCCGCACCUCGCUUCGCCUAGCCCCGUCGCAGCGCGGGGGUGGCCUGCCUCUCGCCUUUACUGUGGCGCCAUCCGUGACCCACCCUUCACAGUGAUUCCUACUCGACUCUGGCCGUUUUAU